Carassius gibelio (silver crucian carp) is the source of this 929-nucleotide long non-coding RNA. RefSeq lists it as uncharacterized. The record is from RefSeq and is a predicted model, not a curated record. Lineage: Eukaryota; Metazoa; Chordata; Actinopteri; Cypriniformes; Cyprinidae. The transcript is spliced from 3 exons.
AACGGUAAAUGCCAUCAAAGAGGAGUAGUGUUUUGUAUUUUUGUAGGUUUUCUCUUUCAAUUUAAUAAAUAAAUGCUCUGUUUGGUUAAUUAGCUCAAAAGCAGUCUCAGAGGUGGUCUAAGGUAACGUUAACUGUAAAAAUCGAAUAUAACCUUAAGUUACCUGUUUUAAAUUAUUUGAAAUUUAUCACUAUAAACUAUACAGUAUUAACUUUCUAAUUAUUCAAUUUUUAACCGUAGUAACGUUAAUUCGUUUGUUUGAAUACCUGCUGCUCGAGCUUGAUGAUGCUCAUGCUAUCCAUGCUGUGAACUUGAAUAUAAUCCGAUAUAACGUUAAAUAUAAAGUUUAACGUUAAUUAGACCGAGGCUGCCGAAAUCAUGUUCAGUGUAACGUUAUGUGGGAUUAAUAAUUUCCCCUUUUCUCCCUCAAGUGGCAGGCUUGUAAAUUCUGUCAUCUGUUCAUUAUUGGUGUUAAUGGUGUUUUUCACAUGCAUGCUUUUUAAUGCUAGUUUAAUUCUCAAAUUGAUCUGAUACUUUCGUUUCACAAAAAGUAAACAAAUUGUUCACUUUUUUAGGGCCCGACAACCACCAGUUGAGUCCAUGAUUCAGGGAAGAGACAGUCUGGGCAGCAGCAACAAGACAACUAUUACAAGUAGAGAUGGGUUUCAAGAACUGACACAACCACAUAUCCUCCAAAUCAUCUCUGCGUGGAUGGCAGCAAGGAUCCAGGAUCAAGAGAUCAUUCUUCAUGGAGACUGUUCCACAGGAAGCAGUUUCUCCUGGGUGAAAAACUAAACCUGGUUGUUUCAGCAUCACUCAGGCAAGACUAAAUACUUUUAAAUUGAUUUCAGUUGGUUAUGUGUUUCAGGUCAUCCUGACCAUUCUGCUGUUCUGGAUGUAAGGCCGUGCUGGAACUACAUUUCUCGUGGU